Ruminococcus sp. SR1/5 is the source of this 292-nucleotide non-coding RNA. The record is from Rfam. NCBI's taxonomy places the organism in Bacteria, Bacillati, Bacillota, Clostridia, Eubacteriales, Oscillospiraceae.
AAUUGCUGUGAAGUGAACAGUAUCACCGGCACAUAUGCUGCCGGAUACUGUGAGGAGGGAAUCGGGUAAAAAGCCUGAGCGGUUGCGGCCACUGUAUACAGAAGAAGGGAUUUCACAUGCCAUUGCAGAAACUCAUGUGAGAAGGCGAAAUCCCGAUGUCAGAGAGAUUCUGGAGAAAAUUCUGAUACAUCAUUCAUGAUCGGCUAAAAGAUGAAUGGUGUAUCAGUUUUUAUUUUGCGGAGUUUUUUCUGAGUCUGUAAGUCAGGAAACCUGCUUGACAGUAUGUAAGUGG